This 253-nucleotide ribosomal RNA is filed under the name uncultured bacterium. RNAcentral's name for it is "partial 16S ribosomal RNA". It matches the Rfam family "Bacterial small subunit ribosomal RNA", at positions 524 to 776 of the family's 1533-position model. The record is from RNAcentral.
UACGUAGGGUGCGAGCGUUAAUCGGAAUUACUGGGCGUAAAGCGUGCGCAGGCGGUUUUGUAAGACAGAUGUGAAAUCCCCGGGCUUAACCUGGGAACUGCGUUUGUGACUGCAAGGCUAGAGUACGGCAGAGGGGGGUGGAAUUCCACGUGUAGCAGUGAAAUGCGUAGAGAUGUGGAGGAACACCGAUGGCGAAGGCAGCCCCCUGGGCCGAUACUGACGCUCAUGCACGAAAGCGUGGGUAGCAAACAGG